CCUACGGGAGGCUGCAGUGAGGGAUAUUGGUCAAUGGGGGAAACGCUGAACCAGCAACGCCGCGUGAGGGAAGACGGUUUUCGGAUUGUAAACCUCUUUCCUCUGUGAAGAUAAUGACGGUAGCAGAGGAGGAAGCUCCGGCUAACUACGUGCCAGCAGCCGCGGUAAUACGUAGGGAGCAAGCGUUUUCCGGAUUUACUGGGUGUAAAGGGUGCGUAGGCGGCUUUGCAAGUCAGAAGUGAAAUCCAUGGGCUUAACCCAUGAACCGCUUUUGAAACUGCAGAGCUUGAGUGGAGUAGAGGUAGGCGGAAUGCCCGGUGUAGCGGUGAAAUGCGUAGAUAUCGGGAGGAACACCAGAGGCGAAGGUGACUUACUGGACUGUAACUGACGCUGAGGCUCGAAAGCGUGGGGAGCAAACAGGAUUAGAUACCCGGGUAGUC
RNAcentral lists this ribosomal RNA (440 nucleotides) under uncultured bacterium. Its description in RNAcentral is "partial 16S ribosomal RNA". It matches the Rfam family "Bacterial small subunit ribosomal RNA", at positions 338 to 795 of the family's 1533-position model. The record is from RNAcentral.